AUGCUAAUGGGUAGAAAUAUUUUAUAUUAUAGAUCAAGAAUCCAAAGAAGAACGAGGAAAAGAAAAAGUAAAGGACUAAAGUGUAAGGUUUAGUCACAUUUUGUAUCAAGUACUUAUCUAGUCACUCGGGGAUCGAAGGAAAUGUCGGAGGCCGAUCACACUAUCAAAGAAAUAACUCGGUAUAACUAGUCGUUUUGUUUUGGGUAUGGCAUGUAUAGAAACUUAGCUACUUUUGGUAUAAUAUGAAUAAUGAAUGAUGUGUAAAUACUUGCUAGUGAUUAGCUAAGAAAAUAGCUGAUGAUAUACAUGUUUAUUAAUAUGUAUGAUUGAAUGAUGAUUAUCACAUGAAAAUUAUGAAAAA
Molecule: long non-coding RNA, 361 nt
Organism: Gossypium arboreum
Lineage: Eukaryota; Viridiplantae; Streptophyta; Magnoliopsida; Malvales; Malvaceae
Exons: 2
Source: RefSeq, a predicted model, not a curated record